RNAcentral lists this ribosomal RNA (465 nucleotides) under uncultured bacterium. Its description in RNAcentral is "partial 16S ribosomal RNA". It matches the Rfam family "Bacterial small subunit ribosomal RNA", at positions 28 to 507 of the family's 1533-position model. The record is from RNAcentral.
GACGAACGCUGGCGGCGUGCUUAACACAUGCAAGUCGUACGGUAAGGCCCUUUCGGGGGUACACGAGUGGCGAACGGGUGAGUAACACGUGAGUAACCUGCCCACAACUUUGGGAUAACGCAAGGAAACUGGUGCUAAUACUGGAUAUGUGCUCCUGCUGCAUGGUGGGGGUUGGAAAGCUCCGGCGGUUGUGGAUGGACUCGCGGCCUAUCAGCUUGUUGGUGGGGUAGUGGCCUACCAAGGCGGCGACGGGUAGCCGGCCUGAGAGGGUGACCGGCCACAUUGGGACUGAGAUACGGCCCAGACUCCUACGGGAGGCAGCAGUGGGGAAUAUUGCACAAUGGGCGCAAGCCUGAUGCAGCAACGCCGCGUGCGGGAUGACGGCCUUCGGGUUGUAAACCGCUUUCAGCAGGGACGAAGCUUUUUGUGACGGUACCUGCAGAAGAAGCACCGGCUAACUACGUG